GGGAGCUUAGAUGUGGAAGCUCUUUGGAAACCAAGAAACACUCUGCAAAUGAAAAGGGAAGCAGAAGUUCUCCUUAGCUGAUUUUUCUUCUUGCCUUAUACUGGGUUCUUUAACACCAGAACAAAAAUAAAUAAAUAAAAGAAUCUUCCAGAAAUUCAUGAAGAGACUUCAGGUCAGGAAAGCCUGAACUUUCUCAUCCAACACCUGUUCAAGUCGGAGGAUGCUGAUUAAUUCAUGAUGGAAAGGUAUCAAUUUCACAGCCCAGACCUCUACAUUCUUGAAAUGCUCUUCUCAUGGGAGACAUUAAAUAAGCUUUGAAUUAACUGUCAGACGUUUGCUGAAUUCAGUUCUGAGCUUUUGAACCAAAAGCAGAUCUUCAGAACAAGAAACAAGAUAAUAAAAGAGAAACAUGAAGAAACUGAAGAUGAUUGGAGAAAUAUGAAUCAAGAUGAUUAGACCUAGCAGAGGGCUGGCUGGAUGGCAUUUAUGUUGACAGUGGACUCCUACACAGAGGAUGAUCAUGGUCUAGGACAUAAUAGUCAUUCAAUCAUCAUUUCUUAAAUGAUUUUUUAAAACAAGUGAAUGAAUGACCAAUUAUAUAUCUUCCCUGAGCCAAUAAAAUAUA
This 625-nucleotide non-coding RNA is filed under the name Pan troglodytes (chimpanzee). Lineage: Eukaryota; Metazoa; Chordata; Mammalia; Primates; Hominidae. The record is from RNAcentral.